GGUUGGAUCAUUAGAAAUUUUUGCCGUGUGUCAGAGUUGAUUCUUGCGAGUCCUCUGAGGCGUGGUAAACUUACAACUGUGCCGUGUCUGUGUGUGGUAACCACACAUUACUUGAAACCAUUAGAAUUCAUUCUUAUUUUUUGUUUUGAUUUAUAAACAACUUUUGACAACGGAUCUCUUGGCUCUCGCAACGAUGAAGAACGCAGCGAAAUGCGAUACGUAAUGUGAAUUGCUUUCCGUGAAUCAUCAAAUCUUUGAACGCACAUUGCACUCUUUGGAGUAUGCUUGUUUGAGAAUCUAUAUAAUCUAUUCGCUUUGUCUGACUGACUGACAGUCUGACAGAGGGAGAAAUGAUUUUCCCAAUCACGUGGUUGCGGCAUUUACUUGCCACCUGACAUCCACUCCACGGGUUUAUCAAAAGUUAUUCCACCUCGUCUCGCCUUACCGUGAGGACCAGGGAAAAGUAUGUGAGUCUCUGACCAGAGAAUCACAAUGCCUAAUACCAGGGACAGGGCUCCGAGGACUCAACACAUCAAGAUCUCAAAUCAAGUAGGAGGACCCGCUGAACUUAAGCAUAUCAAUAAGCGGAGGAAAAGAAACUAAACAAAGGAAAAUUCCCCUAGUAACGGCGAGUGAAGCGGGAACAGCUCAAAUUUGAAAUCUCCUCCGGGCGAAUUGUAGUUUAGAGAAGCGUUUUCGGACAGAGGGCAGGUACAAGUUCAUUGGAACAUGACAUCAAAGAGGGUGAAAAUCCCGUUUUUGACCUGCUUGACGGCCAUGUGAUACGUUUUCCAAGAGUCGGUUUGUUUGGGAACGCAGACCAAAAUGGGAGGUAAAUACCUUCUAAAGCUAAAUAUUGGCGAGAGACCGAUAGCGAACAAGUACCGUGAGGGAAAGAUGAAAAGAACUUUGAAAAGAGAGUUAAACAGUACGUGAAAUUGUCAAAAGGGAAACGUUUGAAACCAGUAUUGGUUUGUUGUAGUCAGCCUUGACGUGAGUCCAGGAGUAUUUACAGCAAGCCGAGUCAACAUCAGUUUUGUUGGGUGGAGACAGAGGGGAAAAGGUAGCCCUUUGGGUGUUAUAGUUCCCCGUACAACAGCCGACAAGACUGAGGACUGCAGCGUUUUUGGCCCACGGGCACACCAGCGCUUGGGAUGUUGACGAAAUGGUUUUAAGCGACCCGUCUUGAAACACGGACCAAGGAGUCUAACAUGUAUGCGAGUAUUUGGGUGGUAAACCCUUGUGCGUAAUGAAAGUGAAAAGGUGGGAUCCUUUGGGAGCACCAUCGACCGCGCCGGAUUAUAGCUAUCCUGGCGUGAGUAUGAGCAUAUAUGCUGGGACCCGAAAGAUGGUGAACUAUGCCUGAACAGGGUGAAGCCAGAGGAAACUCUGGUGGAGGCUCGUAGAGGUUCUGACGUGCAAAUCGAUCUUUUGAUUUGGGUAUAGGGGCGAAAGACUAAUCGAACCAUCUAGUAGCUGGUUCCCUC
RNAcentral lists this unclassified non-coding RNA (1487 nucleotides) under uncultured fungus. RNAcentral describes it as "sequence contains 18S rRNA gene, ITS1, 5.8S rRNA gene, ITS2, 28S rRNA gene". The stretch from base 536 to 1487 matches the Rfam family "Eukaryotic large subunit ribosomal RNA", at positions 1 to 961 of the family's 3401-position model. The record is from RNAcentral. Lineage: Eukaryota; Fungi.